AAAAUUAUUAUAGCGCCAGAACUCUGUUUUUGUAUAGUGACUAUGAAAUUAAAUGUAACUUAUUGCUAUAUAUAGAGUUGACGAGGAAUAGAGUUAUCGAGUGGUUCGGCGGAUACUCUAGUGGUCUCACAGCCUAAUUAGAUAACAAAAAGAUAGGGUAACUUAUCUUACAAAAAGUCUAAAGUGAAAUUCU
RNAcentral lists this non-coding RNA (193 nucleotides) under Epulopiscium sp. Nele67-Bin005. RNAcentral describes it as "glmS glucosamine-6-phosphate activated ribozyme aptamer". It matches the Rfam family "glmS glucosamine-6-phosphate activated ribozyme aptamer". Rfam says of the family: This entry contains a glucosamine-6-phosphate activated ribozyme that is found in the mRNA for GlmS. GlmS is an enzyme that uses fructose-6-phosphate and glutamine to generate glucosamine-6-phosphate. RNAcentral also lists the same sequence under 1 other name. The record is from Rfam by way of RNAcentral. Lineage: Bacteria; Bacillati; Bacillota; Clostridia; Lachnospirales; Lachnospiraceae.